UUUUAUUUAGUGUAUAAACACAUUAUUUUUUCAAGAUAAAAAUAGAAUUAAAUCUAAUUAAAU
RNAcentral lists this transfer RNA (63 nucleotides) under Bathynella cf. rufa JHS-2017. Its description in RNAcentral is "tRNA-Glu". The record is from RNAcentral. Lineage: Eukaryota; Metazoa; Arthropoda; Malacostraca; Bathynellacea; Bathynellidae.